Molecule: transfer RNA, 85 nt
Filed under: Desulforhopalus singaporensis
Lineage: Bacteria; Pseudomonadati; Thermodesulfobacteriota; Desulfobulbia; Desulfobulbales; Desulfocapsaceae
Description: tRNA_Leu_TAG
Rfam family: tRNA
About the family: Transfer RNA (tRNA) molecules are approximately 80 nucleotides in length.
Source: RNAcentral
GCGAGGGUGGCGGAAUUGGUAGACGCACCAGACUUAGGAUCUGGCGCCUUUCGGUGUGGGGGUUCGAGUCCCCCCUCUCGCACCA